AAGGCUUUAAGUUAAAUCAAUAAACUUAUAACCUUCAAAGUUGUAUAUAUCUAAGACUGGGUAAGUCUUA
This 70-nucleotide transfer RNA is filed under the name Cicadula sp. EMHAU-2015-Zz052713. RNAcentral's name for it is "tRNA-Trp". Lineage: Eukaryota; Metazoa; Arthropoda; Insecta; Hemiptera; Cicadellidae. The record is from RNAcentral.